Molecule: ribosomal RNA, 24 nt
Filed under: Phylloscopus plumbeitarsus
Lineage: Eukaryota; Metazoa; Chordata; Aves; Passeriformes; Phylloscopidae
Also listed under: 1 other name
Description: partial 12S ribosomal RNA
Source: RNAcentral
AAAGACUUGGUCCUAACCUUACCG